GAUGAACGCUAGCGGCAGGCUUAAUACAUGCAAGUCGUGGGGCAGCAUGAGUAGCAAUACUUGAUGGCGACCGGCAAACGGGUGAGGAACACGUACACAACCUUCCUUCAAGCGGGGAAUAGCCCAGAGAAAUUUGGAUUAAUACCCCAUAAUAUAUUUGAUAAGGCAUCUUAUUAAUAUUAAAGCUUCGGCACUUGAUGAUGGGUGUGCGGCUGAUUAGAUAGUUGGCGGGGUAACGGGCCCACCAAGUCUACGAUCAGUAGCUGAUGUGAGAGCAUGAUCAGCCACACGGGCACUGAGACACGGGCCCGACUCCUACGGGAGGCAGCAGUAAGGAAUAUUGG
Molecule: ribosomal RNA, 344 nt
Filed under: uncultured bacterium
Lineage: Bacteria
Description: bacterial SSU rRNA
Rfam family: Bacterial small subunit ribosomal RNA
Source: RNAcentral